CCUUCUAAGAGUAAGGAGCUCGUGUUCUGGUUCUGGUUUCGGUUUCUCACUUCCUUCUUUGUUUCUGUGGUCAUGGUUCAGUGAAUGAAACCUAGCUUCUAAUAGCACAAUUGUUUUCUUCAAAGGAGAAUCUGAACCAUUCCACUACUUGCAAUUCUGCAGAAUAGGAACUGACUGUGGCCUGUGGAGCUGUCAUAGGCUGGAAAUCAUCUGCAGUGCAGGAGCCAGCCAGGAAGGAGCUGUUGAAAAUGUUACUGCUGAGUCCACCUGUGCAAGAGCUCAAAAGACAUAGAUGCUGGAUAAAAGGCAGAUUUGAAGGAUGAGUGCAUUUCUCUCUUUGCGCAAGACCCAACCAGCUUCUUCCAAGAGAAAAUUGACAACAUGUUAAGUAACUUUACUCUUUUUGCUUGUCCUCUCUCUCCUUGCUGCAGAUGCUAAUCUGGUAUCCUAAUCCAAUUUCAUGCCCCAGUGAUCUAAAUCCUCUACCUGAUCUCUCUCCUGCCCACUAGUUCUCUUAUUCUUUUCUAAACCUUUCUCUUUCUCCCUUGUAUUGAGCAUGCAUAAAUGCAUGUGUGAUUUCUUUGAUGUUUUUAUACUUAAAAACUACAUCAAUUUAGUAGUUCCAGUUACUAGAUCUUUUUCUUUUCUUUUUUUUUUUAAACUUAUUAAAAAAACAUUGUAUAGAAUGCUCACCAAAAAUUCCAUACUAUAUCCUUCAGAUCCACUGAUUUAACUCCACAAAAGUCAUUCUUACCUAGUGCCAUGGUUCUAAAUAAAUGACAGAUCAGAACUACUUCAUCAAUGCCAUUUGACUUUGGAUCCUGUUGAAUUUAAUCUUGAAAUUCUGUCCUCAUCCUUCUUUCUUUUCUCCCCAUUCACUUGUCCCUUAUCCCCCAGUAGAAAAAGACUAAGUAUAAUGAUUAAGAAUGCAAGCAAUUUUGGUAAAUUGUAAUCAUAUAGAAAAGAAUUCUUAUUCUCAAUUCAUGUAAUAUAUUACUAAGCAAGAUUGUAUUUUCUAUGCAUAUUUUGCUUACUAAUCCUUGUGUUGAUACAUGUCAUCACUGGCUGAAAGGCUACUUUUUUUGGCCUCCAAGAGUAACGUCUGUAAAUUCUCAGAACACUGAUAUAAUUUCAUCAUGAAAGGGAAAGGCUAUUCAAUAUCCAAUUCUGUUUGAAAAGUGUUUGAGAAUCCAUAUCAGUCUAUCUAGUUAUAUGAUCUGUGUAUUAGGCUGUUACAAAACUGUUUUGGAGGAAGAUUAAAAAAAUUAUGAUAGUGAUCAUACUUAAUGUACUUAUAUAUUGUGUGUUUUAAAUAAGAGAUG
This is a long non-coding RNA of Lagopus muta (rock ptarmigan), 1322 nucleotides long. RefSeq lists it as uncharacterized. The record is from RefSeq and is a predicted model, not a curated record. The transcript is spliced from 3 exons. NCBI's taxonomy places the organism in Eukaryota, Metazoa, Chordata, Aves, Galliformes, Phasianidae.